RNAcentral lists this ribosomal RNA (767 nucleotides) under uncultured bacterium. RNAcentral describes it as "bacterial SSU rRNA". It matches the Rfam family "Bacterial small subunit ribosomal RNA", at positions 68 to 849 of the family's 1533-position model. The record is from RNAcentral.
GAGACUUUCGGGUGGAUUUUAAAAUGACUGAGUGGCGGACGGGUGAGUAACGCGUGGGCAACCUGCCUUACACAGGGGGACAACAGUUAGAAAUGACUGCUAAUACCGCAUAAGCGCACGGGAACGCAUGUUUCUGUGUGAAAAACUCCGGUGGUGUAAGAUGGGCCCGCGUUGGAUUAGGUAGUUGGUGAGGUAAGGGCUCACCAAGCCGACGAUCCAUAGCCGACCUGAGAGGGUGACCGGCCACAUUGGGACUGAGACACGGCCCAAACUCCUACGGGAGGCAGCAGUGGGGAAUAUUGCACAAUGGGCGCAAGCCUGAUGCAGCGACGCCGCGUGAGCGAAGAAGUAUUUCGGUAUGUAAAGCUCUAUCAGCAGGGAAGAAAAUGACGGUACCUGACUAAGAAGCUCCGGCUAAAUACGUGCCAGCAGCCGCGGUAAUACGUAUGGAGCAAGCGUUAUCCGGAAUUACUGGGUGUAAAGGGAGCGUAGACGGAUGUGCAAGUCUGAUGUGAAAGGCGGGGGCUCAACCCCUGGACUGCAUUGGAAACUGUAAAUCUUGAGUGCCGGAGAGGUAAGCGGAAUUCCUAGUGUAGCGGUGAAAUGCGUAGAUAUUAGGAGGAACACCAGUGGCGAAGGCGGCUUACUGGACGGUAACUGACGUUGAGGCUCGAAAGCGUGGGGAGCAAACAGGAUUAGAUACCCUGGUAGUCCACGCGGUAAACGAUGAAUACUAGGUGUUGGGGAGCAAAGCUCUUCGGUGCCGC